GUGUGUGUGUGUGUGUGUGUGUGUGUGUGUGUCAGAUGUUCCUGAUAUACCAGGGACUCAUUACAAAUGUGUGUCUGUAUACCAGACUGCUAACUUUGACAGAACACAUUUGGCUCUGCACUCUCCAGCAUUUGCCAAGAUAUGUCAGGGACUCAUAUCUUAUCGACACUUUAAUGUGAGUCAUUAAGAUCUAAGCUGACCUUGACAUUUUAACGCCGAAUUUUUUCCAUGUGCGAAAAAUUAUUUUUAUUUUGAUGGUUUUAUGCUUUGGAUCUGGACGGUGUAUACUCAUUACAUUCAGUCCAACAGGAUGGUACUGGUUUUGGUCUGUUUACUAGACUGCGGUCGUUUGUAUACUAGCGUAGGCGUUUAAGAUAAACUCGUAAAUAAAUGCCUUCUCUUACUGUAGCUCAUAGGAUUCCUUAAAUAGUGCCAUGUGAUCUAGUGUUACAACCUGGAUCUGAAAUGGACUUAUAUGUCAUGAAUAUAUUCAAAGACCAGAUUAAAGUGGUGGGAGGGAAAUCUCCCACACUGGUGUGAACCCACUUACCUAGUUGAAUUCAGUCCACCGGUGUGCAGUUAAUUCUAAUAGAAAUACACCUGUUCUCGGAAGAGCGUCUCUCAAAGAGCAUCACAAAGACCAAGGAGAUAUCAAGACAAGUCCAAGACAAAGUUCUGAAAAGCACCUACAAACAACCCUACAGCAUGACGGACCAGACUUGCACCGUUUGGGUUUCACAGAGGACUUGGCUGCAGGUCAAAUCUGUUCUUCUGUUCACCAGUUCAACGAAACGUUACGAAACAUCCUAGAACGUGCACGUCCCUGCUUCUUACUCGAUUCAACCGAUUACAUUGAAAUGGCCUUUAGCAGUCUCGCAGAACUAUAAACACGUUCGGCUUGCGAGGUCUUAGGACCUGUACAGAAGAGAAGUGUCGGAAUUUCAAAACACUAUCUAUACUUUUGCUAAAAUUAGGCAAAGUGGUGUAGUAGGCCACAAAAUGUACCUUGGACUGGUGUAACAGACCUCAAGCAAAGCGUAAACAAUUUAGUAAACAAAACAAAAACAGUCACACUGAAGCAAAUCUGACUUGUUUCACUUUUAUUAGAAAACAAUUAAGAAAAUAUAUUUUUGACAUGGAAAGAAAAAAAAAAAACCUUACAAAAUACAUUCAUUCUCCAUGAGUGCCAUAAACAGUACAUUCAAUGUGUUAUUACCUGACGUUGUUUUUCACAAUUUGGAAUUGAAUUAGCCGUCUUUGGAAUGUUAAGUACACUUCAGAGUGGUAGAACAAGUUUAAAGCUUAAUGCAUCGUCGUGCAUAAUCCCUGUACCCAGGCGCGCUGCUGUUGUAACAAGAGGAAAUGGCACCUUGAACAAACGUGGCUUGUUAUCCAGCUAAUGACUGUAAGACUGUUUGUGCCUGCUACAGCAGUGUAAUAAUCAGAACGCCACUGGGAGAGAAAAAAAAAAAAAAAAAAAAAUUGAAAAAAAAAAAAAAAACGAAAAA
Molecule: long non-coding RNA, 1508 nt
Organism: Ictalurus punctatus (channel catfish)
Lineage: Eukaryota; Metazoa; Chordata; Actinopteri; Siluriformes; Ictaluridae
Exons: 2
Source: RefSeq, a predicted model, not a curated record